CAGCAGCCACGGUAAUACGUAGGUCCCGAGCGUUGUCCGGAUUUAUUGGGCGUAAAGCGAGCGCAGGCGGUUAGAUAAGUCUGAAGUUAAAGGCUGUGGCUUAACCAUAGUACGCUUUGGAAGCUGUUUAACUUGAGUGCAAGAGGGGAGAGUGGAAUUCCAUGUGUAGCGGUGAAAUGCGUAGAUAUAUGGAGGAACACCGGUGGCGAAAGCGGCUCUCUGGCUUGUAACUGACGCUGAGGCUCGAAAGCGUGGGGAGCAAACAGGAUUAGAUACCCCCGUAGUCCCUGUCUCUUAUACA
RNAcentral lists this ribosomal RNA (301 nucleotides) under uncultured bacterium. RNAcentral's name for it is "partial 16S ribosomal RNA". It matches the Rfam family "Bacterial small subunit ribosomal RNA", at positions 509 to 808 of the family's 1533-position model. The record is from RNAcentral.